UCCCCGGCCACCGCGCCCGGCCCAGACGAUGCCGAGGGCACGGCGGACACCUCCCUGUGUCGCCUGUACCGGCACGUGUCGCACGACUUCCUAGAGAUCCGCUUCAAGAUUCAGCGGCUGCUGGAGCCGCGACAGUACAUGCUGCUGCUGCCAGAGCACGUGCUGGUCAAGAUCUUCAGCUUCCUGCCCACGCGCGCGCUGGCCGCCCUCAAGUGCACCUGCCACCACUUCAAGGGCAUCAUCGAGGCAUUCGGCGUACGGGCCACAGACUCGCGCUGGAGCCGAGACCCGCUCUACCGCGAUGACCCGUGCAAGCAGUGCCGCAAGAGAUACGAGAAGGGCGACGUGUCGCUCUGCCGCUGGCACCCCAAGCCCUACCACCAUGACCUGCCUUACGGACGUUCCUACUGGAUGUGCUGCCGCCGAGCCGACCGCGAGACGCCCGGCUGCCGCCUGGGCCUUCACGAUAACAACUGGGUGCUGCCCUGCAAUGGGCCGGGCGGAGGCCGGGCAGGCCGGGAGGAGGGGAGGUGAAGCCGGGGGAGGGGAGGGGAGAGCCCACCACGCCCACCCCUCCCCUCUCCCCCGGGAGCCGAGGGUCCGGACUGCGCCGCCUGCCCAUUCCCCCACUCCAGACAGCAUUGAUCCCCCACUGGAACUGAGCUGGGGUUCAGCAGGGGUGACCCAGGAAGGCACUCUGCUUGAUCCUGUUGAUUUUCUACUCUUCAGAACCAGGGCCGUGGACCCUCUGAGAAGGGUGUUUUUUUUAUCAGCAUCUCACUUUAUUCUCCAUUCAGCCCCAACCCCCUUCCCUGCCACGCUCUCCACCCCAGGGACCCACCAGCAGGGAGCAGACGGCAGCUAAUUUUGGUAUCACGUAAGGGUUCCCCCAUUCUGGCCCCCAUCCUCUCCCUCGCCCCAAUUCUUUCUCGCUGGAGCUGUUAUUUCCCAAGAGGCUGCAUCGCCCAAGGUUGGCACCUCUCCUAACCUGCCACACCACCGCUCUCACCUCUCUAGGAAUUGGGGGCUAUCAGGUCACAGGUGGGAGCUGGCAUUUUUUCAUGACAGUUCACCAUUU
Molecule: RNA transcript, 1078 nt
Organism: Mandrillus leucophaeus (drill)
Lineage: Eukaryota; Metazoa; Chordata; Mammalia; Primates; Cercopithecidae
Gene name: F-box only protein 46-like
Exons: 1
Source: RefSeq, a predicted model, not a curated record